This is a non-coding RNA of Puccinia sorghi, 72 nucleotides long. NCBI's taxonomy places the organism in Eukaryota, Fungi, Basidiomycota, Pucciniomycetes, Pucciniales, Pucciniaceae. The record is from the annotation of a GenBank genome assembly.
GUAUCCUUAGUAUAGUGAUUAGUACAGUUAUCAUGGACAUAAGAGAUGUGAGUUCAAUUCCCACAGGACACA